GCCGGCAGCCAUAUCAUCCUGCAAUUCACAACUGGCAACCCACUGAAGCUCAGCAGGUGUGAGCCUGGUCAGUACCUGGAUGGGAGACUCCUGGGAAAAACUAAGGUUGCUGCUGGAA
This 118-nucleotide ribosomal RNA is filed under the name Lepisosteus oculatus (spotted gar). Lineage: Eukaryota; Metazoa; Chordata; Actinopteri; Semionotiformes; Lepisosteidae. The record is from RNAcentral.